UCGGAACGUGCCCAGUCGGUGGGGGAUAACGUAGCGAAAGUUACGCUAAUACCGCAUACGAUCUAAGGAUGAAAGCGGGGGAUCGCAAGACCUCGCGCGAUUGGAGCGGCCGAUAUCAGAUUAGGUAGUUGGUGAGGUAAAGGCUCACCAAGCCGACGAUCUGUAGCUGGUCUGAGAGGACGACCAGCCACACUGGGACUGAGACACGGCCCAGACUCCUACGGGAGGCAGCAGUGGGGAAUUUUGGACAAUGGGCGCAAGCCUGAUCCAGCAAUGCCGCGUGCAGGAUGAAGGCCUUCGGGUUGUAAACUGCUUUUGUACGGAACGAAACGGUGAGCUCUAAUACAGUUUGCUAAUGACGGUACCGUAAGAAUAAGCACCGGCUAACUUCGUG
RNAcentral lists this ribosomal RNA (394 nucleotides) under uncultured bacterium. RNAcentral describes it as "bacterial SSU rRNA". It matches the Rfam family "Bacterial small subunit ribosomal RNA", at positions 118 to 507 of the family's 1533-position model. The record is from RNAcentral.